UUUAUUCGGCUGGAAAGCGAAAAUUUUUGUUAUUCAGAAAAUGUAAUAUAACGUAGUUUGGGUGAGCUUUCCAUCUCGACAUUGUGGUGUGUUUGUCACCCGUUAAUUGGACACAAACACCUUCCUUUCCACCGCUUUCAAUAAAAAAUCCACCCGGUAGGAAUAUUAUAUUUUGAUUAUUAGUUACACUAUUUAUCGCGCCUAAAAGUGUAGUGUAUACUAGUCUGGGAGCCGUUUUUCUUGUGGCGAUUUUUUAAAUGAAUUAUCUACGUAAAUAUUGAACCCACGGGGGGCGCCUCACCCCUGCCUUCCCCAUGGACAGUCCAGCAAUGUCUGCUUCCACUCCCCCUGUGUUUCCAGACCCAGAGAGUGAAGCAAAGCCAGAAUCAACCACCACACUAGAUAAAUAGCCAUUACUGUGACAAUGGAAUGUUGUCAGCGAGCAGCAUGGAAGACGCAGAGAUAGUGGUGGAGACAGGAAGAGAAUGUGGCCUGGAGAUUAACAAACACAAGACCAAUAAUCUUGUGACCUCCAUACACCCUUCCUAAUGUCAAUAAAGUUGUCUUAUCAUACCCAAAA
Portunus trituberculatus (swimming crab) is the source of this 580-nucleotide long non-coding RNA. RefSeq lists it as uncharacterized. NCBI's taxonomy places the organism in Eukaryota, Metazoa, Arthropoda, Malacostraca, Decapoda, Portunidae. The record is from RefSeq and is a predicted model, not a curated record. The transcript has 2 exons.